CGCGGGCUCUCGGUGUCUGCUCGCAGGCAGAAAAUGUGAGUUAAUGUUGGGAAGACUCCUGGAUGGAGAGAGAGCGAGAGCGGAGCGGAGGAGAGAGAGAGGAGGUAUUUGUAGUAUUUCGGUGCCUUGCUAAAGGGCACCUCGGCAGUGCCCAGGAGUUGAACUGAAACCUCUCCAGCUACCAGUCCACCUCCAUACUACCCUCCCAAGCCAAGUCUCGAUGAACUGAGCUACUGAAGACAAUUAAAUCAUACACAGCUGUAUAUACAACUUUUGGCUCCAGACAACAAGACACCCUGAUAAUCAUGCAUGUGUCUGUCUAAACACAGCAUAGGAGUGGUAGUUUCCGAGCAGCACCUGAACGCCUCGGCGCUGUCCCGCGUCACGUGACAGAGGUGCGUUUACUU
Larimichthys crocea (large yellow croaker) is the source of this 407-nucleotide long non-coding RNA. RefSeq lists it as uncharacterized. The record is from RefSeq and is a predicted model, not a curated record. Lineage: Eukaryota; Metazoa; Chordata; Actinopteri; Sciaenidae. The transcript is spliced from 4 exons.